UGAGGUCUUGAACUUAACAAUCCUCCUGCCUCUUCAGUCAUCCAGAAUGGCAAGGAGAACAGCACCAUUCCUGAUCAGAGAACUCCGGUUGCUUCAACCCACAGUAUUAGCAGUGCCACCACCCCGGACCGGAAUCCGCUUCCCAAGAGGCACUGCCAUUCGUAGCACUUUCCAUGGCCAGCCCCGGGAACGGCGAACUGCAACAU
Molecule: long non-coding RNA, 206 nt
Filed under: Marmota monax (woodchuck)
Lineage: Eukaryota; Metazoa; Chordata; Mammalia; Rodentia; Sciuridae
Source: RNAcentral